CCUACGGGAGGCAGCAGUGGGGAAUAUUGCACAAUGGGGGAAACCCUGAUGCAGCGACGCCGCGUGAGUGAAGAAGUAUCUCGGUAUGUAAAGCUCUAUCAGCAGGGAAGAAAAUGACGGUACCUGACUAAGAAGCCCCGGCUAACUACGUGCCAGCAGCCGCGGUAAUACGUAGGGGGCAAGCGUUAUCCGGAAUUACUGGGUGUAAAGGGUGCGUAGGUGGUAUGGCAAGUCAGAAGUGAAAACCCAGGGCUUAACUCUGGGACUGCUUUUGAAACUGUCAGACUGGAGUGCAGGAGAGGUAAGCGGAAUUCCUAGUGUAGCGGUGAAAUGCGUAGAUAUUAGGAGGAACAUCAGUGGCGAAGGCGGCUUACUGGACUGAAACUGACACUGAGGCACGAAAGCGUGGGGAGCAAACAGGAUUAGAUACCCCAGUAGU
This 439-nucleotide ribosomal RNA is filed under the name uncultured Anaerostipes sp. RNAcentral's name for it is "bacterial SSU rRNA". It matches the Rfam family "Bacterial small subunit ribosomal RNA", at positions 338 to 794 of the family's 1533-position model. Lineage: Bacteria; Bacillati; Bacillota; Clostridia; Lachnospirales; Lachnospiraceae. The record is from RNAcentral.